This 82-nucleotide transfer RNA is filed under the name Gracilariopsis tenuifrons. Its description in RNAcentral is "tRNA-Leu". It matches the Rfam family "tRNA". Rfam says of the family: Transfer RNA (tRNA) molecules are approximately 80 nucleotides in length. Their secondary structure includes four short double-helical elements and three loops (D, anti-codon, and T loops). RNAcentral also lists the same sequence under 1 other name. The record is from RNAcentral. Lineage: Eukaryota; Rhodophyta; Florideophyceae; Gracilariales; Gracilariaceae.
ACGGAUAUGAUGAAAUUGGUAGACGUGUUAGAUUUAGAUUCUAAUGAUAAUAAUCGUGAGGGUUCGAGUCCCUCUAUCCGUA